Molecule: transfer RNA, 77 nt
Filed under: Candidatus Saccharimonadota bacterium
Lineage: Bacteria; Candidatus Saccharimonadota
Also listed under: 2 other names
Description: tRNA-Lys
Rfam family: tRNA
About the family: Transfer RNA (tRNA) molecules are approximately 80 nucleotides in length. Their secondary structure includes four short double-helical elements and three loops (D, anti-codon, and T loops).
Source: RNAcentral
GGGACCAUAGCUCAGCUGGUUAGAGCACCUGCCUUUUAAGCAGGGUGUCGUGGGUUCGAGCCCCACUGGUCCCUCCA